This 266-nucleotide ribosomal RNA is filed under the name uncultured Aurantimonas sp. RNAcentral's name for it is "partial 16S ribosomal RNA". It matches the Rfam family "Bacterial small subunit ribosomal RNA", at positions 62 to 356 of the family's 1533-position model. The record is from RNAcentral. Lineage: Bacteria; Pseudomonadati; Pseudomonadota; Alphaproteobacteria; Hyphomicrobiales; Aurantimonadaceae.
UCGAACGCACCUUUCGGGGUGAGUGGCAGACGGGUGAGUAACGCGUGGGAAUCUACCCUUCUCUACGGGAUAGCUCCGGGAAACUGGAAUUAAUACCGUAUACGUCCUGAGGGAGAAAGAUUUAUCGGGGAAGGAUGAGCCCGCGUUGGAUUAGCUAGUUGGUGGGGUAAAGGCCUACCAAGGCGACGAUCCAUAGCUGGUCUAAGAGGAUGAUCAGCCACAUUGGGACUGAGACACGGCCCAAACUCCUACGGGAGGCAGCAGUG